AGCCGCGGUAAUACGUAGGGCGCGAGCGUUGUCCGGAUUCAUUGGGCGUAAAGAGCUCGUAGGCGGCCUGCCGCGUCUGCCGUGAAAGCCCACGGCUCAACCGUGGGUCUGCGGCGGAUACGGGCGGGCUUGAGGCUGGUAGGGGCAAGCGGAAUUCCUGGUGUAGCGGUGAAAUGCGCAGAUAUCAGGAGGAACACCGGUGGCGAAGGCGGCUUGCUGGGCCAGUCCUGACGCUGAGGAGCGAAAGCGUGGGGAGCGAACAGGAUUAGAUACCCUGGUAGUCCACGCCGUAAACGUUGGGCGCUGGGUGUGGGGGCUUUCCACGGUUCCCGUGCCGUAGCUAACGCGUUAAGCGCCCCGCCUGGGGAGUACGGCCGCAAGGCUAAAACUCAAAGGAAUUGACGGGGGCCCGCACAAGCGGCGGAGCAUGUUGCUUAAUUCGAUGCAACGCGAAGAACCUUACCAAGGUUUGACAUGCCGGGAAAUCCCGCAGAGAUGCGGGGUGCCUUCGGGCGCCUGGCACAGGAGGUGCAUGGCC
This 538-nucleotide ribosomal RNA is filed under the name uncultured archaeon. RNAcentral describes it as "bacterial SSU rRNA". It matches the Rfam family "Bacterial small subunit ribosomal RNA", at positions 513 to 1050 of the family's 1533-position model. The record is from RNAcentral.